CUUCUUCUGUACGAGUUUGGCUGUCGUAUAAUGAAAAACCUGACACCACUCUAGUAGCAAAUGGUCUAUUUUUAAUACACAAAAAACGAUUUUUUCGGCAUUAUUUUCUGCAUCUAUUGUAAGUUUUCAAUCUAAUCCGAGGACUUUAAUAAGUGGUAUUUAUUAACUGUCAUUAUGGUUUUCUUGCUUCCGUUGGGGAGAAAGUUGCGGUGGCAUAAAAUAAAAUGCAAUUUUUUAUAUCGAAAAUAUGUUAUCUCGUAUAAAAGAUAACGUAAUGAAUAUCAUUUUUUUAAAAAAUGUACAAGCGUACAGAGAUAUGUUAUAACAAUGGUGAACGAUGCUACAAACAGUUUUCCUUAUUAUUAUUAUUAUUUCGUAUAAAAAACGUAUUAAACGAUGCAAGUUUAAUCAAUUCACGUCGAUUACUAUGCCGACAAUAUAUUCAAACUACACGCAUUACCUAUGGACUUUACGGCGUAACGGAUAGAAAAUGGUUGUGACGUCGGUGAACACGUGGUACCAUUGACCGUAACCAUGGCAAUACACGACGAAGGCGACGCAGGAUUCGUGGCAUGUGAAUCUUGGGUGUGGUGUGGACUCCGAG
Molecule: long non-coding RNA, 604 nt
Organism: Centruroides sculpturatus (bark scorpion)
Lineage: Eukaryota; Metazoa; Arthropoda; Arachnida; Scorpiones; Buthidae
Exons: 4
Source: RefSeq, a predicted model, not a curated record